UGGACAAAUUAUUGUAUUCGACUGUAUUCACGGCGUGAAACAGGGGAUUACACUGUUUUUAAACGGAAAGUGAAUCAAUUAACAUAAUAGACCCCU
This is a microRNA precursor of Nicotiana attenuata, 96 nucleotides long. It matches the Rfam family "MIR6152 microRNA precursor family". The record is from Rfam. NCBI's taxonomy places the organism in Eukaryota, Viridiplantae, Streptophyta, Magnoliopsida, Solanales, Solanaceae.